MicroRNA precursor from Cajanus cajan (pigeon pea), 83 nucleotides. NCBI's taxonomy places the organism in Eukaryota, Viridiplantae, Streptophyta, Magnoliopsida, Fabales, Fabaceae. The record is from Rfam.
AGAGUAUAUUUGUGUCAGGAUGACUUGCCGACAUAUGCUUCAAAGUGAUUAUUAUUGGCGUCAUCCUGACUCAUAUUUCCUUU